CGCAACAACAAAUUGAAAAGCGCAAAAACAAAAGAAGAAUCACAAAAACAAAUUGAGAAGCACAAUUACAUUAAGAAAACCGGAAAGGGUAGGUACCAGUCGGCAACAGGAGACAUCACUGAUUGGAUGUCCGCGCUGUUCGUCUUUGGAACCGGAAGUUACUCUGCCUGUAGCGCAUUUCGUUUGAAAAACGGCGGAAUGUUUUGUCCUAGCUAUGGGAAAAAGCUGGUUGAGGAGUCACCAAACUUUUGCAGCGGCUGUGGCGAGAGGCUUUAUCACGCAUCUUGCAUCGGAGACACUUCACUCCCAUUGACAUCACAGACUACCUCAAACUGCCCAACUCCAACCUUCAGCACCUUCUUAGAAUACA
Molecule: long non-coding RNA, 370 nt
Organism: Oreochromis aureus
Lineage: Eukaryota; Metazoa; Chordata; Actinopteri; Cichliformes; Cichlidae
Exons: 2
Source: RefSeq, a predicted model, not a curated record